UACAGAGGGUGCGAGCGUUAAUCGGAAUUACUGGGCGUAAAGCGCACGUAGGUGGCUUUUUAAGUCGGAUGUGAAAUCCCUGGGCUUAACCUAGGAACUGCAUUCGAUACUGAAAAGCUAGAGUCUGGUAGAGGGUGGUGGAAUUCCAGGUGUAGCGGUGAAAUGCGUAGAUAUCUGGAGGAACAUCAGUGGCGAAGGCGGCCACCUGGACUGAGACUGACACUGAGGUGCGAAAGCGUGGGUAGCAAAC
Molecule: ribosomal RNA, 250 nt
Filed under: uncultured bacterium
Lineage: Bacteria
Description: partial 16S ribosomal RNA
Rfam family: Bacterial small subunit ribosomal RNA
Source: RNAcentral